UGCCCUCAGAUGAGGAAUAAUCCCGGGAAACUGGGGCUAAUGCCUCAUAGGAGACGGGUGCUGGAAUGCUCUGUCUCUGAAAGGUCCGCCGUCUGAGGAUGAGUCUGCGUCCGAUUAGGUUGUUGUUGGGGUAACGGCCCACCAAGCCAUUGAUCGGUACGGGUUGUGGGAGCAAGAGCCCGGAGAUGGAUUCUGAGACAUGAAUCCAGGCCCUACGGGGCGCAGCAGGCGCGAAAACUUUACAAUGCGAGCAAUCGUGAUAAGGAAACCCUGAGUGCCUGUCAAUGCAGGCUGUUCUGGUGUUUAGUCCGCACCAGGAGAAAGGGCGGGGCAAGACCGGUGCCAGCCGCCGCGGUAAUACCGGCUGCUCGAGUGAUAGCCACUUUUACUGGGCUUAAAGCGUUCGUAGCUUGGUCGUUAAGUCUCUGGGGAAAUCUUCUGGCUUAACCAGAAGGCGUCUCAGAGAAACUGGCGACCUUGGGACCGGGAGAGGUAAGACGUACUUCGGGGGUAGGAGUGAAAUCUUGUAAUCCCCGAGGGACGACCGAUGGCGAAGGCAUCUUACCAGAGCGGCUCCGACAGUGAGGGACGAAAGCUGGGGGAGCAAACCGGAUUAGAUACCCGGGUAGUCCCAGCCGUAAACGAUGUGCGUUAGGUGUGUCAGUGACCACGAGUCACUGAGGUGCCGAAGGCAAACCGUGAAACGCACCGCCUGGGAAGUACGGUCGCAAGGGCUGAAACUUAAAGGAAUUGGCGGGGGA
Molecule: ribosomal RNA, 761 nt
Filed under: Methanocalculus alkaliphilus
Lineage: Archaea; Methanobacteriati; Methanobacteriota; Methanomicrobia; Methanomicrobiales; Methanocalculaceae
Description: bacterial SSU rRNA
Rfam family: Archaeal small subunit ribosomal RNA
Source: RNAcentral